Pelobates cultripes (western spadefoot toad) is the source of this 98-nucleotide non-coding RNA. The record is from the annotation of a GenBank genome assembly. NCBI's taxonomy places the organism in Eukaryota, Metazoa, Chordata, Amphibia, Anura, Pelobatidae.
ACGUGUUUCGCCUUAACAGACUUCUUCAAGUAGAUAGUACUCUUUCCUACUAUCUACUUGAAGAAGCCUGUUAAGGCGAAACGCGUUUAGAUAUUAAU